RNAcentral lists this unclassified non-coding RNA (884 nucleotides) under Hevea brasiliensis (rubber tree). Lineage: Eukaryota; Viridiplantae; Streptophyta; Magnoliopsida; Malpighiales; Euphorbiaceae. The record is from RNAcentral.
UUUUUAUUUUUUUUAUUUUUUUGCCUUACCAACUCAAGAAUUUUUGAAAGAAAGAGACCGAAUUAAAAACAAAAGUUUCUAAUAUUGUUACAUUGUAAAUGGUAGUAGGUAAUUAAGACCUUAUCUAAAAGGGAAAAAAUCAUAUCACAAAUGACUCUGACUGUGAUAUGGGUAGUGUCCUAGAAUUGUCAUUCCAUAAAAAAAAAAAAAUUAUGAGAUUGUAGACUAAUAUAACACAAAAAGAGAUAGAAGGAGAAAGAGAGAGAGUAAAACAAAUCAUAGCACUACAUACAUGAUAUGAUCAUGAAACAAAAUGAGGAUAAAGAGAAGGGAAAGAAAGCCAAACCAAGUUCCUCUUUCAGAAUUUGAUGACCGCAAAAACAAUUUUGAAAGGACUUUUUACUCUUAAAGGAAAGAGAGAAUGCAGCAAAAAAAUAAUAGUAACAAUAAAUGCGAGGAUCGUAGGCACUGGUACAGUGAAAUGAUUGUUAAUGGGAACGAUAAAUGGAAUAUGAUUGGGCUUCUUUCCUUAUUACAGCCAAUUGCCAGGCUUGCUUGAUUGUGCUAGUGUUGUGUGUGCAUAAACAAAAAGAAAAAGAAAAGAAGAAACAAUCCCUCUGUUCCAAGUCAACUAAGAUAUAAUAUCAAUGGGGUUUGUUUCUCUGCAAAAUUACUAUGAUGGGUAUGAAUGCGUUGGACAAGUAGCUUCAUUAUAACUUCCCUGCGUACUAUGGUGGCUUACUAGUCAUCUUCUCAAUGAGGAGGAACGUCGCUUCUAGCCGGACGCAUACCCCUAAUAGUAGCCUCUCGUGUUUUUACCAAACCAAAAUCAAAGUACGUUAACAGCCCCACCAAUCCAACCAAUUGUGAAAACUUUUAAUAAU